GCCUACGGGGGGCUGCAGUCGAGGAUCUUCGUCAAUGGGCGAAAGCCUGAACGAGCGACGCCGCGUGCGCGAUGAAGGCCUUCGGGUUGUAAAGCGCGAAAGAUGGGACGAAAGCCGAAAGGUUUGACCGAUCAUCAGUAAGCUCGGGCUAAGUUCGUGCCAGCAGCCGCGGUAAGACGAACCGAGCAAACGUUAUUCGGAAUCACUGGGCUUAAAGGGCGCGUAGGCGGGCAUCCAAGUCCGUGGUGAAAUCCGGCAGCUCCACUGUCGAACUGCCGCGGAUACUGGGUGUCUCGAGGGAGGUAGGGGCGUGCGGAACUAUUGGUGGAGCGGUGAAAUGCGUUGAUAUCAAUAGGAACUCCGGUGGCGAAGGCGGCACGCUGGACCUCUUCUGACGCUGAGGCGCGAAAGCCAGGGGAGCAAACGGGAUUAGAUACCCGAGUAGUC
This 447-nucleotide ribosomal RNA is filed under the name uncultured Gemmata sp. Its description in RNAcentral is "bacterial SSU rRNA". It matches the Rfam family "Bacterial small subunit ribosomal RNA", at positions 337 to 795 of the family's 1533-position model. The record is from RNAcentral. Lineage: Bacteria; Pseudomonadati; Planctomycetota; Planctomycetia; Gemmatales; Gemmataceae.